Non-coding RNA from Schizosaccharomyces pombe (fission yeast), 347 nucleotides. The record is from the annotation of a GenBank genome assembly. NCBI's taxonomy places the organism in Eukaryota, Fungi, Ascomycota, Schizosaccharomycetes, Schizosaccharomycetales, Schizosaccharomycetaceae.
AAAAAAUUAUUUAUAUCCCCAUUUACACUUUUCAAAUCUCAUAGUUUACUAAAACAUGUAUUUGUCUAAUCACCCUACCCAAAAUCCCGUACAGAUUGCCCGACCAAAGAUAAUUCGAAUGUUUGAACUGCUUUUUACGUGCACAAAGAAAUUGUGAUUAUAUUAAAUUAAAUAAACUAACUAUAACAACUAAACGAAACAAAUCCCACGUUUGCGACGGCAAACUAAAUCGAUCAUCCAAAGUCCGUGAAAAACGCUCAAGGGAGUAUGUAAUUUAUGUAUGUACAAGAUAGACGAGAAAGUAAAAAAUCCAACUAGACUGUAAUAAUGCUGGGCUCUACUUAUAU